This 319-nucleotide long non-coding RNA is filed under the name Physcomitrium patens. Its description in RNAcentral is "long non-coding RNA (PPAT_LNC002332)". The record is from RNAcentral. Lineage: Eukaryota; Viridiplantae; Streptophyta; Bryopsida; Funariales; Funariaceae.
GGUUCCCAUGCCACCAUUCGGAGAAGAUCCAAAUGCAGGUGCAGUGCCACUCGUACCAAACAUAGAUGGAGAACUGGGUUUUGCACCAAAACUGAAGGGUGAAGAUGAUGCAGCACUAGAGCCACCGAAGGCGAAUGCACCAGUUGAGGUAGUGGGUGAAGCAGCACUAGAUGCUCCAAAUGCGAAAGCACCAGUAGAGGUAGUGGGUGAUGCGGCACUAGAUGAUCCAAAAGCGAACGCACCAGUUGAAGUGGUUGGUGAUGCAGCACUAGAUGCCCCAAAUGCGAAGGCGCCAGUUGAAGUGGUUGGUGAUGCGCCA